AGAGUUUGAUCAUGGCUCAGGAUGAACGCUAGCGGCAGGCCUAAUACAUGCAAGUCGAACGGUAAGUUGAAUAGCAAUAUUUGACCUAGAGUGACGUACGGGUGCGUAACACGUAUGCAACCUACCCUUUACAGGAGGAUAGCUCGGGGAAACUCGAAUUAACCCUCCAUAACAUAGUGAUGUGGCAUCAUAUUACUAUUAAAACUCAGGUGGUAAAGGAUGGGCAUGCGUCUGAUUAGUUAGUUGGCGGGGUAACGGCCCACCAAGACGAUGAUCAGUAGGGGAACUGAGAGGUUGAUCCCCCACACUGGCACUGAGAUACGGGCCAGACUCCUACGGGAGGCAGCAGUAGGGAAUAUUGGUCAAUGGAUGCAAGUCUGAACCAGCCAUGCCGCGUGCAGGAAGAAGGCCUUCUGGGUUGUAAAGCUCUUUCGCAAGGG
Molecule: ribosomal RNA, 440 nt
Filed under: uncultured bacterium
Lineage: Bacteria
Description: bacterial SSU rRNA
Rfam family: Bacterial small subunit ribosomal RNA
Source: RNAcentral